GGCGGGAUGGCUGAGUUAGAUAGGCGGCGGGCUGCAACCCCGUUCACGCCGGGGCAGAUCCGGCUCUCGUCU
RNAcentral lists this transfer RNA (72 nucleotides) under Mycobacterium phage Bongo. It matches the Rfam family "tRNA". Rfam says of the family: Transfer RNA (tRNA) molecules are approximately 80 nucleotides in length. Their secondary structure includes four short double-helical elements and three loops (D, anti-codon, and T loops). The record is from Rfam by way of RNAcentral. RNAcentral also lists the same sequence under 1 other name. Lineage: Duplodnaviria; Heunggongvirae; Uroviricota; Caudoviricetes; Vilmaviridae.